GUUUUUAUGGUGUAAUCAACACAUAAUUUUUUCAGAAUUAAGAUAACGAUGGAUUUAAAAAUA
RNAcentral lists this transfer RNA (63 nucleotides) under Hyalella azteca. RNAcentral's name for it is "tRNA-Glu". The record is from RNAcentral. Lineage: Eukaryota; Metazoa; Arthropoda; Malacostraca; Amphipoda; Hyalellidae.